CCCCUAGAUGUUCUGGGCCGCACGCGCGCUACACUGAACAGUUCAACAAGUCUUAACCUUGGCCGAUAGGUCUGGGUAAUCUUUGAACGCUGUUCGUGAUUGGGAUAGACCUUUGCAAUUAUGGGUCUUCAACGAGGAAUUCCUAGUAAACGCAAGUCAUCAGCUUGCAUUGAUUACGUCCCUGCCCUUUGUACACACCGCCCGUCGCACCUACCGAGUGAAUGGUCCGGUGAAAUCUCGGGACGGCGGCUUGGUCGCUUGCGUCCGACUGCUGAAACUUGAUUAAACCAUAUCAUUUAGAGGAAGGUGAANUCGUANCA
RNAcentral lists this ribosomal RNA (320 nucleotides) under uncultured eukaryote. RNAcentral describes it as "partial 18S ribosomal RNA". It matches the Rfam family "Eukaryotic small subunit ribosomal RNA", at positions 1470 to 1796 of the family's 1831-position model. The record is from RNAcentral.